AAUGAACGCUGGCGGCGUGCCUAACACAUGCAAGUCGGAUGUGCCGCAAGGUGCAUGGCAGACGGGUGAGUAACGCGUGGGGAACCUACCUCUUCGUGGGGAAUAACGAUCCGAAAGGAUUGGUAAUACCGCAUGAGACCGACGGCUGGGAUGCUGUCGGUGAAAGCUGGGGACCGGAAACGGCCUGGCGCGAGGAGAGGGUCCUGCGUCUGAUUAGCUAGUUGGUGGGGUAACGGCCUACCAAGGCAUCGAUCAGUAGCCGGCCUGAGAGGGUGAUCGGCCACACUGGAACUGAGACACGGUCCAGACUCCUACGGGAGGCAGCAGUGGGGAAUUUUGCGCAAUGGACGAAAGUCUGACGCAGCAACGCCGCGUGGGUGAUGAAGGUCUUCGGAUUGUAAAACCCUGUCGUCGGGGACGAAGGUAGGAGGGUUAAUAGCCCUUUUGCUUGACGGUACCCGGAGAGGAAGCCCCGGCUAACUCUGUGCCAGCAGCCGCGGUAA
Molecule: ribosomal RNA, 503 nt
Filed under: uncultured bacterium
Lineage: Bacteria
Description: bacterial SSU rRNA
Rfam family: Bacterial small subunit ribosomal RNA
Source: RNAcentral